This 251-nucleotide ribosomal RNA is filed under the name uncultured prokaryote. RNAcentral describes it as "partial 16S rRNA". It matches the Rfam family "Bacterial small subunit ribosomal RNA", at positions 525 to 775 of the family's 1533-position model. The record is from RNAcentral.
AAGGAGGGUGAGAGCGUUAUUCGGAAUUACUGGGCGUAAAGCGCGUGCAGGCGGUUUGGCAAGUCUGAUGUGAAAGCCCCGGGCUUAACCUGGGAAGUGCAUUGGAAACUGCCGGGCAUGAGUACUGGCGAGGGAGGGGUAAUUCCCGGGAUCGCAGUGAAAUCCAUGGAUAGCGGCGUGAAUACGGGUGGGAGUGGCUACCAACGAGUGGGGUACACCCGCUGAGGCGCGAGAACGUUUUGAACAAACAU